UCAUGUGAGCCACUUCCCUCCACCACACUCUUCCGCCAUGAUGUUCUGCCUGACCCAGAGCUCCAAUGAACGGAGCCUGCUGACUAUGGAUCAAGACCUCUGAAACUCCUGGAUGAAAACUCACCUGAGAAUUUCAAGAUGGCUGCCUACAGGGACUGUUUCAGGCCAUGAAAGAGAGAAACCAAAUGAUCAGUGCAACCACAAAACCAUGACCCUUUGAUGCACUGAGGUCCAGCCAAAUCAGUUUUCAGGGGAAAAAAUAAACCCAAACCACCAAACCCACUAUUUUAUACAGUGCUUUUAACUGUGGUUUAUCAUUAGAGAUCAAAUUAUUUUGGAACCCUUAGCUUACAUUGCCAAAUUUAGUCAAAGCACUUGCAAUAAACUUUUCUCUGAUUCA
This is a long non-coding RNA of Marmota flaviventris (yellow-bellied marmot), 400 nucleotides long. RefSeq lists it as uncharacterized. Lineage: Eukaryota; Metazoa; Chordata; Mammalia; Rodentia; Sciuridae. The record is from RefSeq and is a predicted model, not a curated record.